AGUGGUAUAGCUAUAAUUCAAGUAACAGAUUCUUACUCUGUAGAAAAACACUCGUUUUACCUCUU
This 65-nucleotide transfer RNA is filed under the name Paragyrodactylus variegatus. RNAcentral describes it as "tRNA-Lys". The record is from RNAcentral. Lineage: Eukaryota; Metazoa; Platyhelminthes; Monogenea; Gyrodactylidea; Gyrodactylidae.